AGAAUUUGAUCUUGGUUCAGAUUGAACGCUGGCGGCGUGGAUGAGGCAUGCAAGUCGAACGGAAUAAUGACUUCGGUUGUUAUUUAGUGGCGGAAGGGUUAGUAAUACAUAGAUAAUCUGUCCUCAACUUGGGAAUAACGGUUGGAAACGACCGCUAAUACCGAAUGUGGUAUGUUUAGGCAUCUAAAACAUAUUAAAGAAGGGGAUCUUCGGACCUUUCGGUUGAGGGAGAGUCUAUGGGAUAUCAGCUUGUUGGUGGGGUAAUGGCCUACCAAGGCUUUGACGUCUAGGCGGAUUGAGAGAUUGACCGCCAACACUGGGACUGAGACACUGCCCAGACUUCUACGGAAGGCUGCAGUCGAGAAUCUUUCGCAAUGGACGAAAGUCUGACGAAGCGACGCCGCGUGUGUGAUGAAGGCUCUAGGGUUGUAAAGCACUUUCGCUUGGGAAUAAGAGAGAUUGGCUAAUAUCCAAUCGAUUUGAGCGUACCAGGUAAAGAAGCACCGGCUAACUCCGUGCCAGCAGCUGCGGUAAUACGGAGGGUGCUAGCGUUAAUCGGAUUUAUUGGGCGUAAAGGGCGUGUAGGCGGAAAGGAAAGUUAGAUGUUAAAUCUUGGGGCUCAACCCCAAGCCAGCAUCUAAUACUAUCUUUCUAGAGGGUAGAUGGAGAAAAGGGAAUUCCACGUGUAGCGGUGAAAUGCGUAGAUAUGUGGAAGAACACCAGUGGCGAAGGCGCUUUUCUAAUUUACACCUGACGCUAAGGCGCGAAAGCAAGGGGAGCAAACAGGAUUAGAUACCCUGGUAGUCCUUGCCGUAAACGAUGCAUACUUGAUGUGGAUAGUCUCAACCCUAUCCGUGUCGUAGCUAACGCGUUAAGUAUGCCGCCUGAGGAGUACACUCGCAAGGGUGAAACUCAAAAGAAUUGACGGGGGCCCGCACAAGCAGUGGAGCAUGUGGUUUAAUUCGAUGCAACGCGAAGAACCUUACCUGGGCUUGACAUGUAUUUGACCGCGGCAGAAAUGUCGUUUUCCGCAAGGACAGAUACACAGGUGCUGCAUGGCUGUCGUCAGCUCGUGCCGUGAGGUGUUGGGUUAAGUCCCGCAACGAGCGCAACCCUUAUCGUUAGUUGCCAACACUUAGGGUGGGAACUCUAACGAGACUGCCUGGGUUAACCAGGAGGAAGGCGAGGAUGACGUCAAGUCAGCAUGGCCCUUAUGCCCAGGGCUACACACGUGCUACAAUGGCCAGUACAGAAGGUAGCAAUAUCGUGAGAUGGAGCAAAUCCUCAAAGCUGGCCCCAGUUCGGAUUGUAGUCUGCAACUCGACUACAUGAAGUCGGAAUUGCUAGUAAUGGCGUGUCAGCUAUAACGCCGUGAAUACGUUCCCGGGCCUUGUACACACCGCCCGUCACAUCAUGGGAGUUGGUUUUGCCUUAAGUCGUUGACUCAACCUGCAAAGGAGAGAGGCGCCCAAGGUGAGGCUGAUGACUGGGAUGAAGUCGUAACAAGGUAGCCCUACCGGAAGGUGGGGCUG
RNAcentral lists this ribosomal RNA (1532 nucleotides) under Chlamydia psittaci. Its description in RNAcentral is "bacterial SSU rRNA". It matches the Rfam family "Bacterial small subunit ribosomal RNA". The record is from RNAcentral. RNAcentral also lists the same sequence under 1 other name. Lineage: Bacteria; Pseudomonadati; Chlamydiota; Chlamydiia; Chlamydiales; Chlamydiaceae.